UACGUAGGGCGCAAGCGUUGUCCGGAAUUAUUGGGCGUAAAGAGCUCGUAGGCGGCUUGUCACGUCUGCUGUGAAAUCCCGGGGCUCAACCCCGGGCGUGCAGUGGAUACGGGCUGGCUAGAGGCAGGCAGGGGAGAACGGAAUUCCCGGUGUAGCGGUGAAAUGCGCAGAUAUCGGGAGGAACACCGGUGGCGAAGGCGGCUCACUGGUCCGGUACUGACGCUGAGGUGCGAAAGCGUGGGGAGCAAACAGG
RNAcentral lists this ribosomal RNA (253 nucleotides) under uncultured bacterium. RNAcentral's name for it is "partial 16S ribosomal RNA". It matches the Rfam family "Bacterial small subunit ribosomal RNA", at positions 524 to 776 of the family's 1533-position model. The record is from RNAcentral.